RNAcentral lists this ribosomal RNA (608 nucleotides) under Bacillus sp. PASKW135. Its description in RNAcentral is "bacterial SSU rRNA". It matches the Rfam family "Bacterial small subunit ribosomal RNA", at positions 776 to 1382 of the family's 1533-position model. The record is from RNAcentral. Lineage: Bacteria; Bacillati; Bacillota; Bacilli; Caryophanales; Bacillaceae.
GAUUAGAUACCCUGGUAGUCCACGCCGUAAACGAUGAGUGCUAAGUGUUAGGGCCUUUCCGCCCCUUAGUGCUGCAGCUAACGCAUUAAGCACUCCGCCUGGGGAGUACGGCCGCUUGGCUGAAACUCAAAGGAAUUGACGGGGGCCCGCACAAGCGGUCCAGCAUGUGGUUUAAUUCGAAGCAACGCGAAGAACCUUACCAGGUCUUGACAUCCUCUGACAACUCUAGAGAUAGAGCGUUCCCCUUCGGGGGACAGAGUGACAGGUGGUGCAUAAUUGUCGUCAGCUCGUGUCGUGAGAUGUUGGGUUAAGUCCCGCAACGAGCGCAACCCUUGAUCUUAGAAGCCAGCAUUCAGUUGGGCACUCUAAGGUGACUGCCGGUGACAAACCGGAGGAAGGUGGGGAUGACGUCAAAUCAUCAUGCCCCUUAUGAGGUGGGCUACACACGUGCUACAAUGGACGGUACAAAGAGUCGCGAGACCGCGAGGUGGAGCUAAUCUCAUAAAACCGUUCUCAGUUCGGAGGGUAGGCUGCAACUCGCCUACAUGAAGCCGGAAUCGGAUCUAAUCGCGGAUCAGCAUGCCGCGGUGAAUACGUUCCCGGGCCUU